CUCGUAGGUGGUUUGUCGCGUUGUUCGUGAAGACUCACAGCUUAACUGUGGGCGUGCGGGCGAUACGGGCAGACUAGAGUACUGCAGGGGAGACUGGAAUUCCUGGUGUAGCGGUGGAAUGCGCAGAUAUCAGGAGGAACACCGGUGGCGAAGGCGGGUCUCUGGGCAGUAACUGACGCUGAGGAGCGAAAGCGUGGGGAGCGAACA
RNAcentral lists this ribosomal RNA (207 nucleotides) under uncultured bacterium. Its description in RNAcentral is "partial 16S ribosomal RNA". It matches the Rfam family "Bacterial small subunit ribosomal RNA", at positions 568 to 774 of the family's 1533-position model. The record is from RNAcentral.